Molecule: unclassified non-coding RNA, 213 nt
Filed under: plant metagenome
Description: partial contains small subunit ribosomal RNA, internal transcribed spacer 1, and 5.8S ribosomal RNA
Source: RNAcentral
UUUCCGUAGGUGAACCUGCGGAAGGAUCAUUCAUAAUAAGUGUUUUAUGGCACUUUUUUAAACCCAUAUCCACCUUGUGUGCAAUGACAGGGUUGAUUUUUCUCUCGAGAGGAUCAACCCCAAACAUCAACUAUAUCUCAACUCUUUGUCUGAAAAAUAUUAUGAAUAAAACAAUUCAAAAUACAACUUUCAACAACGGAUCUCUUGGCUCUC